Molecule: long non-coding RNA, 679 nt
Organism: Rhododendron vialii
Lineage: Eukaryota; Viridiplantae; Streptophyta; Magnoliopsida; Ericales; Ericaceae
Exons: 3
Source: RefSeq, a predicted model, not a curated record
UACUCUGUGUCUCGGAUUUCAAGGAGAUUGUGUACUGCUUCCACCGAUCGAUCGAUAUUAAGAGAGAGAGGUAUGCUCGGUUCAAUCUCCUUAAUUAGUUAAUUUACCCAAUAUCAUGAGUUUCCUCUUCAUUCUCUUCUCAACAAAUAUCAAAGCUCUCUCCUCUUUUCCAUGGCAAGUAUAAUUGAAGAAGAUGUUGCCGAAAAAAAUGAACACACUCGAAAACCUUUCCACUUCGAAAGAGAAUACGCAUAACACUAGUAAAUUUUUGUGAUUUACGCAUUAAAUCCCUUUCUUAAAUUCCCAGUCCAGUAGUUACAUGAUCGGCUUUUGAUUUCACUUAGAUGUUGAGAUUCUAAAGGCUGCUCUCUCUUUCUGACGAUUAAUUUCUUUGGAUAUGCAUCUUUAUUUCCUUUCUCUGAUCUCCUUGGUUUCUUUGAGUGUAGAAUUGCAGAUGGAGUGAGAACUGCGAACUGAUUUGAGAACCAAGUUAACACCAAAACAAAAAACCCUCCAUUAGCAAAUAUGCUUGGGGAAGAGUUAUGGUUUACUAUUGGUGGGCAGCAUAUCCCAUUUGGUGCUUCACCACAAGUUGAUUGUGAAAUUAAGAGCAAUAAUUCAAGAAACAUCCAAGUAGAAGCUGAGAGUAAAGCAAUAGUGCAUCAAUGAAUCAGAUACU